CCUACGGGUGGCAGCAGUGAGGAAUAUUGGUCAAUGGCCGUAAGGCUGAACCAGCCAAGUCGCGUGAAGGAAGAAGGAUCUAUGGUUUGUAAACUUCUUUUAUAGGGGAAUAAAGGGAGCCACGUGUGGAUAUUUGCAUGUACCCUAUGAAUAAGCAUGGGCGAACUCCGUGCCAGCAGCCGCGGUAAUACGGAGGAUGCGAGCGGUAUCCGGAUUUAUGGGGUUUCAAGGGUGCGUAGGGGGUUUUUUAAGUCAGCGGUGAAAGUUUGUGGCUCACCCCUAAAAUUGCCGUUGAAACUGGCAGACUUGAGUGUGUUUGAGGUAGGCGGAAUGCGUGGUGUAGCGGUGACAUGCAUAGAUAUCACGCAGAACUCCGAUUGCGCAGGCAGCUUACUAAGCCAUAACUGACACUGACGCAC
This 419-nucleotide ribosomal RNA is filed under the name uncultured bacterium. RNAcentral describes it as "partial 16S ribosomal RNA". It matches the Rfam family "Bacterial small subunit ribosomal RNA", at positions 338 to 754 of the family's 1533-position model. The record is from RNAcentral.